GUUUUUUUUUUUAUUAUUUAUUUUAUUUUUUAAAUAAAAUUGUUUACAGAUUUUUAGCAAAUCUGUUCCCUCAAGUUUUUUUUUAUAUUAUUUAUUUAUUUACAGAUUUUAGCAAAUCUGUUCCCUCAAUGUUUAUAAAUCCGUUCCCUCAGUGUUUAUAAAUCCGUUCCCUCCGUUUUUAUAAAUCCGUUCCCUCAGUUUUUAUAAAUCCGUUCCCUCAGUGUUUAUAAAUCCGUUCCCUCAGUGUUUAUAAAUCCGUUCCCUCAGUGUUUAUAAAU
This is a long non-coding RNA of Ictalurus punctatus (channel catfish), 278 nucleotides long. The record is from Ensembl. Lineage: Eukaryota; Metazoa; Chordata; Actinopteri; Siluriformes; Ictaluridae.